CCCUUAGAUGUUCGGGGCCGCACGCGCGCUACACUGAAGGAAUCAGCACGUCUUUCUCCUUGUCCGAAAGGACUGGGUAACCCGCUGAACCUCCUUCGUGCUAGGGAUUGGGGCUUGUAAUUCUUCCCCAUGAACGAGGAAUUCCCAGUAAGCGCGAGUCAUAAGCUCGCGUUGAUUACGUCCCUGCCCUUUGUACACACCGCCCGUCGCCACUACCGAUUGGAUGGUUUAGUGAGAUCCUCGGAUUGGUCCCGGCGCGGCCUCUGGUCGUGCCGGAGUGCCGAAAAGAAUGUCGAACUUGAUCAUCUAGAGGAAGUAAAAGUCGUAACA
RNAcentral lists this ribosomal RNA (330 nucleotides) under uncultured eukaryote. Its description in RNAcentral is "partial 18S ribosomal RNA". It matches the Rfam family "Eukaryotic small subunit ribosomal RNA", at positions 1470 to 1796 of the family's 1831-position model. The record is from RNAcentral.